AAAAUGCUUCGGUGAUGAUGUAAGUGUUCAACUGCGAAAUGUUCUCCUUUGUUUAAGUUUUAGGUUAUCCAGUUCAACUGAUGAACUCAUUGAAAGAAAGCUGAUAAGUAAAGUCUGUCAUCAUAUUUCACAACUGGACAUUUAGUGUGGUAACUUUUACAGAAUCUAUGUAUAUUGGUGGUAGGUUGGAUAUCAUAUUCUGCUUGAAUGUCCUGAUAAGCCUGAUUCAAAAUCUCCAAUGAUAAUCAUAUAUUGAUGGAAUUAUGUAUCAAAAAGCUGUGAAUUUGGAGCUGUCUACAUGCUUCAUAAACACUGUUUAAAAAAUGUUUUGGUUUUGUUUUUGACUUCUUUGACCAGAGCCCUACACAAAGGAAGAGGACAGAGGACCUCAUUUUCUAAAGGAAGAUCCCUCACACACUUUCAAGACUGUGAAGCCGACAGGUAUUGAAGACACGUUUUCUAAGAGGAUGAAAGUUGGCAUUGUGAUGGUGAAAGAAGAAGACAUCAUCGAUGUGUUGGUUGUCCUUGAGGCGGCAGUAAUCCUGUCUAAUCUGAGGGAUGUCUCAAGUGCCAUUUCCAUGCUGAUGGGCCUUCUUUUUGCCCUCAACAUAGACUAUCCAAAGGAACUUAAGGACAUCUUUGAAGCCAUUCAGAACAUCCUAAUGAACAUUGGUGGAAGGCAGUGCAUCUCACUAGUGCAUGGUCUAAGAAACAGACUCUUGCAGAAAGCCAUGCAGAACUGUAAUUGUAUGCUCACAGCAUACAAUUGCCUUAGUGUUAAGGACAGUUUUUAUUUUACUGUUUGUUUUUUUAUUCUUGCAAGUUCUCAUGUUUCACUUUUGUAUGUCACUAAAUGACUACACUUUACAUUCCAGAUUAGAUAAUUACUCAUUUGUUCAUGGUUUAAGAAACUUAUGUGAACAACAAUAUAAUGGUGGACUUUGCAGAUGCUUAUCUCAUGCAAGUCAGUAGUUUUUCCUUUGUUUUGCAAUUGAGCAGACUCAAACUAAUGUUUCUGAAAUAUCCAUAUUAUCAAAUGUUUCAGAAGCAUGUACUCAUUUUCAGAGAUAUUGGUUCUGUGGAAUUUGUUGCAAUUGUAAACGAAGACAAAUACAAGAGUUUGAUGUCUUAGUUGUUAUAAACUGAUCUUUACUGUCACUUAUCAAAGGUUUUGUACUAUUUUAAUAUUUCAAGUUUUAUGCUAGCAGGUGUGACUGAGCACAAUGAAGUUUAAAAAUUUUGCAAAUGUAAAGAAUAACUUUUCUAAAAUAGCAAGUGUCCCGUUGAUACAUUACAUUAAUGCAGACUUUAUGUUGUUACUUCACAAGAAUCACUACUGCUCCUAGAGUAUUGGUCAGAAUUUAAUCUUCACCCAAACUGGGCUCAAGACCAAGUUCAAAUUUAUUGUUUCACAGGGAGCAGCCUUUGAGUUUUGAUGGAUUGUGAGCCUGA
Oreochromis aureus is the source of this 1452-nucleotide long non-coding RNA. The record is from Ensembl. NCBI's taxonomy places the organism in Eukaryota, Metazoa, Chordata, Actinopteri, Cichliformes, Cichlidae.